RNAcentral lists this ribosomal RNA (440 nucleotides) under uncultured bacterium. RNAcentral's name for it is "partial 16S ribosomal RNA". It matches the Rfam family "Bacterial small subunit ribosomal RNA", at positions 338 to 795 of the family's 1533-position model. The record is from RNAcentral.
CCUACGGGUGGCAGCAGUGGGGGAUAUUGCACAAUGGGGGAAACCCUGAUGCAGCGACGCCGCGUGGGUGAAGGAGUGUUUCGGCGCGUAAACCUCUAUCGGCAGGGAAGAAGAUGACGGUACCUGACUAAGAAGCCCCGGCUAACUACGUGCCAGCAGCCGCGGUAAUACGUAGGGGGCAAGCGUUAUCCGGAUUUACUGGGUGUAAAGGGGGCGCAGGCGGCGAUGCAAGCCAGGAGUGAACGCCCGGGGCUCAACCCCGGGACUGCUUUUGAAACUGGAUGGCUGGAGUGCAGGAGAGGCAAGGGGAAUGCCUAGUGUAGCGGUGAAAUGCGUAGAUAUUAGGAGGAACACCAGUGGCGAAGGCGGCCUGCUGGACUGUAACUGACGUUGAGGCUCGAAAGCGUGGGGAGCAAACAGGAUUAGAUACCCCUGUAGUC